GUUAAAUACUACAUGGCUCUUGAA
RNAcentral lists this small RNA (24 nucleotides) under Arabidopsis thaliana (thale cress). RNAcentral describes it as "ATSL072140". Lineage: Eukaryota; Viridiplantae; Streptophyta; Magnoliopsida; Brassicales; Brassicaceae. The record is from RNAcentral.